Molecule: ribosomal RNA, 250 nt
Filed under: uncultured bacterium
Lineage: Bacteria
Description: partial 16S ribosomal RNA
Rfam family: Bacterial small subunit ribosomal RNA
Source: RNAcentral
AUUAACGCUAGCGGCAGGCAUAAUACAUGCAAGUUGAACGGCAGCACAGGUAGCAAUACUGGGUGGCGAGUGGCGCACGGGUGCGUAACACGUAUGCAACCUACCCUAUACAGGCGAAUAACCUUUAGAAAUGAGGGCUAAUACGCCGUAGUAUUACAGAUGGGCAUCUAUUUGUAAUUAAAGAUUUAUCGGUAUAGGAUGGGCAUGCGUCCCAUUAGUUAGUUGGUAAGGUAACGGCUUACCAAGGCGA